This 709-nucleotide long non-coding RNA is filed under the name Homo sapiens (human). RNAcentral's name for it is "HSALNT0321715". The record is from RNAcentral. Lineage: Eukaryota; Metazoa; Chordata; Mammalia; Primates; Hominidae.
CUUCCCGCCUCGGCCUCCCAGAGUGCUGAGAUUACAGAUGUGAACCCAUGCCAGGCCAGGAAUUUUGUUUUUUAGGAAGGCUUUCUACUAAUGGAAUUCCUGGCCUUGAGAGGAUAUUACUUUCGACGGAAAGGAUUUUUUUGUUAUUAAAAGCAGCUUAAAAUUGGUGCCUUAUUCAGACACAAGCAAAAGGACAUUAGCCCAGCUUUGGAAAUAGCUGGACCUACCAUGAAAGACUUCUGAAUCCAGGAAGAGAAACUGACUGGGCAACAUGUUAUUCAGAAACAGGACCUUGCCCUGUCACUCAGGAUGGAGUUCAAUGGUCCUAUCAUGGCUCAUUAUAGCCUUAAACUCCCAGGCUCAAGCAAUCCUACCAUGUCAGCCUUCCCAGUAGCUGGGACUACAGGAAGUGACCUCACAAUGACUCAAGCUACCACAUACUGUUGAUUGUGAAAUGCCAGUUGAAGCAUAUGUCCUGCGAGCUUAGGGGUGCUACAAGUUGACCACUGCAGCAGUAAAGAUGACUCUGAAGAAUGGCAUGGGAUGGAUCCUUUCGAAUGCACUUGAGCAGCGGUCUCCAACCACAGGGCCACAGAGCUGGAGCUGGAUCUACCAUGAAAGACUUCUGAAUCCAGGAAGAGAGACUGACUGGGCAACAUGUUAUUCAGGGUCUCCCUCUGUUGUCCAAGGCUGGAGUGUAGUAGUGCUA